RNAcentral lists this ribosomal RNA (433 nucleotides) under uncultured eukaryote. RNAcentral describes it as "bacterial SSU rRNA". It matches the Rfam family "Eukaryotic small subunit ribosomal RNA", at positions 592 to 1018 of the family's 1831-position model. The record is from RNAcentral.
CAGUAGCGUAUAUUAAAGUUGUUGCAGUUAAAAAGCUCGUAGUUGGAUUUCUGAACGACCGCACUGGCCCGCCUUCGAUAAGAGGGUGUGUUGCCGGUAUGAGUUGUUCAUCCUUUCAGAGAGCCGACGCCUACCAUUCACUUGGUCGGGCUCGUGCGAUCUGGAUCUUUUACUUUGAAAAAUUAGAGUGUUUAAAGCAGGCUUACGCUAUGAAUACAUUAGCAUGGAAUAAUAAGAUAGGACUUGGGUUUUAUUUUGUUGGUUUCUAAAACUGAAGUAAUGAUUGAUAGGGACAGUUGGGGGUGCUAGUAUUCAGCGGCCAGAGGUGAAAUUCUUGGAUUCGCUGAAGACUAACUACUGCGAAAGCAUUCACCAAGGAUGUCUUCUUUAAUCAAGAACGAAAGUUGGGGGAUCGAAGAUGAUCAGAUACCGU